GACGAACGCUGGCGGCGUGCUUAACACAUGCAAGUCGAACGGUAAGGCCCUUCGGGGUACACGAGUGGCGAACGGGUGAGUAACACGUGGGUGAUCUGCCCUGCACUUCGGGAUAAGCCUGGGAAACUGGGUUUAAUACCGGAUAGGACCACUGCCUGCAUGGGUGGUGGUGGAAAGCUUUUGCGGUGUGGGAUGGGCCCGCGGCCUAUCAGCUUGUUGGUGGGGUGAUGGCCCACCAAGGCGACGACGGGUAGCCGGCCUGAGAGGGUGACCGGCCACACUGGGACUGAGAGACGGCCCAGACUCCUACGGGAGGCAGCAUUGGGGAAUAUUGCACAAUGGGCGCAAGCCUGUUGCAGCGACGCCGCGUGAGGGAUGACGGCCUUCGGGUUGUAAACCUCUUUCAGCACCGACGAAGCGCAAGUGACGGUAGGUGCAGAAGAAGGACCGGCCAACUACGUGCCAGCCGCCGCCGUAA
Molecule: ribosomal RNA, 478 nt
Filed under: uncultured bacterium
Lineage: Bacteria
Description: partial 16S ribosomal RNA
Rfam family: Bacterial small subunit ribosomal RNA
Source: RNAcentral